Molecule: ribosomal RNA, 1473 nt
Filed under: Triticum aestivum (bread wheat)
Lineage: Eukaryota; Viridiplantae; Streptophyta; Magnoliopsida; Poales; Poaceae
Description: partial small subunit ribosomal RNA
Source: RNAcentral
AUGGAUCUCCUCUCGGACGCCCAGCCCCAGUGGCUCCUCGCCGGCGCCGCGCUGCUGCUCGCCACCGUCGCCUUCCUCAGGGUCCUCCUCGGCUCCGGCGGCCGCGGCAAGCGGGCGCCGCCGACGAUCCCGGGGGCGCCCGUCGUGGGCGGGCUCCUGCGCUUCCUGCGGGGCCCCAUCCCGCUCAUCCGGGCCGAGUACGCCCGCCUCGGCCCCGUCUUCACCGUCCCCAUCCUCACCCGCCGGAUCACCUUCCUCAUCGGCCCCGACGUCUCGGCGCACUUCUUCAAGAGCAACGAGUCCGACAUGAGCCAGCAGGAGGUCUACCGCUUCAACGUCCCCACCUUCGGCCCCGGGGUCGUCUUCGACGUCGACUACCAGGUCAGGCAGGAGCAGUUCAGGUUCUUCACCGAGGCGCUCAGGGCCAACAAGCUCCGCAGCUACGUCGACCAGAUGGUUGCCGAGGCCGAGGAGUACUUCUCAAAGUGGGGAGAAAGCGGCACUGUGGAUCUGAAGUAUGAACUGGAGCACCUCAUCAUACUGACUGCUAGCCGAUGCUUGUUGGGAAGGGAAGUGCGAGAAAAAUUGUUUGAUGAUGUUUCUGCUCUCUUCCAUGAUCUUGACAAUGGGAUGCAGCCAAUCAGUGUCAUCUUUCCCUACCUCCCAAUCCCUGCACACCGUCGCCGUGACCAGGCACGGACACGUUUGGCGGAGAUCUUUGCCACGAUCAUCAAGUCCCGCAAGGCCUCUGGACAGUCCGAGGAAGACAUGCUGCAGUGCUUCAUUGAUUCCAAGUACAAGAAUGGCCGCCAGACCACAGAAAGUGAGGUGACUGGGCUACUUAUUGCAGCCCUGUUUGCUGGACAGCACACUAGCUCGAUCACCUCAACCUGGACUGGGGCCUACCUGCUUAAGUUCCAGCAGUACUUUGCAGAGGCUGUUGAGGAGCAGAAGGAGGUCAUGAAGAGGCAUGGUGACAAGAUCGAUCACGACAUAUUGGCAGAGAUGGAUGUCCUCUACCGGUGCAUCAAGGAGGCGCUCCGGCUCCACCCGCCGCUGAUCAUGCUGCUUCGCCAAUCACACUCUGACUUCAGCGUGACCACGAGGGAAGGCAAAGAGUUUGAUAUCCCCAAGGGCCACAUCGUCGCAACAUCUCCUGCUUUCGCUAACAGGCUCCCCCAUAUCUUCAAGAACCCGGACUCGUAUGACCCUGACCGGUUUGCAGCUGGGAGGGAGGAGGACAAGGUUGCGGGUGCCUUCUCGUACAUCUCCUUUGGGGGUGGCAGGCACGGGUGCCUGGGUGAGCCCUUCGCGUACCUGCAGAUCAAGGCGAUAUGGACACACCUCCUGAGGAACUUUGAGUUUGAGCUGGUCUCACCGUUCCCAGAGAACGACUGGAAUGCGAUGGUCGUCGGCAUCAAGGGCGAGGUGAUGGUCAGCUACAAGCGGCGGAAGCUUGUCGUCGACAACUAG